Drosophila willistoni is the source of this 903-nucleotide long non-coding RNA. RefSeq lists it as uncharacterized. Lineage: Eukaryota; Metazoa; Arthropoda; Insecta; Diptera; Drosophilidae. The transcript has 4 exons. The record is from RefSeq and is a predicted model, not a curated record.
CCUGCUGGCCAGGCCUGGUACAGGCUGGCUGAAAGCGGGAGGGCCAAGUCCCUUUAACCGCUGUAUGGAGAUUUUGUCAAGGUCAGCUGGCUGAAAGUGACUUCUAUGCUAUUUUCAAUCUCAUUCAGGAGCUCGUUUUCAACUCGCUCAAGAUUUUUGAGAGUUGUUGGUCAUCAUUAAGGGUGACUAUUUCCCCAGGCUUUAGUGGACGUUGGACAAGUCGCUGGAUUUGGAUUGGCUGGCCCUUCAAUCGCUCUUCUAUGUACGCGCGAUUUCGUGUGCCUCUUUUAAAAUCUCGAAACAGGCCGUUGAUCACGUGUCCUUCCAUGCGCACAACAGGUGGCAAUCGAAUCUGAUGAGAGAUGGGGCGCCAUCAAAAUGGGCCGUCGCCUCCCGCAUUGCAUGCCGAUCUAGAUGAGUAGUUGGAGAUUGCUGCUGCUGUGUGUCAACGGAAGAUGAAGCCCGUAGCUGGGAGGCCUGUGCUGCUGGCUAGUGCUUCUGGACGACCAUUUGAUGCUGCUGCGUAUCCAUUUGCGUUUUCUGCCGUUGAGUGUCAGCAGAAGAUGAGGCCCGUAGCUGGGAGGCCUGUGUUGCGGGCUGGUGCUGCUGACCAAUAAGUUUAUGCUGCUGCUGCGCCAUAAUUUGCUGUGAAGUUGCAGUUUGAGGAACUGGAGUCUGAGAUUGCUGCUGCUGACUGUCAGCAGUGGUUGACGCCCAAUAUCUGUAGAUAUUGUAUAUUUGCUGACAUAGGAGGAGCUAGAUUUGUGGAUUGCUGCUGCUGUGUGUCGAUAGGAGUUGACACCUGAAACUGACAGGCCUGUGCUGGAGGCUGACGCUGCUGUCCAACCACUUGAUGCUGCUGCUGCAUCGCCAUUUGCUGUAGUUGAUGUAUACUUCCUGCAA